Hyalella azteca is the source of this 6455-nucleotide RNA transcript. It is a transcript of the gene named tyrosine-protein kinase Src64B-like, with no coding region annotated. The record is from RefSeq and is a predicted model, not a curated record. Lineage: Eukaryota; Metazoa; Arthropoda; Malacostraca; Amphipoda; Hyalellidae. The transcript is spliced from 15 exons.
GUUUUUUUUUUUCAGAGAGAAUAAUGACGUGGGUUUGAUUUUGAUAAUUGCAAUGGAAAACUGUGAUUUUUCAUUUGAUGCUGAUCAUAUGUGAUCAGAUUUUUAAAUGACCUCAUAAUGUUUCCAAGAACUGUAAAAGUGCAAGCAUCCUAGUGAGGGUAGAUCUGUGCAUUGAGAAGGUGACACAGAAGGAUUUUCAGCAGUGUGCUGUUGCUGUUGUGAAAGUAAGAGGAUGCAAGCAUCCUAGUGAGCUAAGAGAGGGCAGAUCUGUGGUGACGAGGAAGGUUCAUUUAGCAGCGUCGUGUUGUUGCUGUUGUCAAGGCAGGAGGAUGGGGCAAGCUUGCUGUUGCCCCCCUCCAACGCAGCCCCCUGGCGGUCCUCUGCCUGCUUUUGACCCCAUCAGAGGCAAGGGAGACUGUGCGGGAUUUGUCCAGUUGUCGGGAGGCGUUGCGGGAUCCAACAACGGCCCGAGUGGUGUCAACCCUCGGUAUCAUCCUGACCCCUCAGGGGCAGCCAUGGGAGGAAAUAUUACCCCAAUGGGGACGUGCCCCCCUAUGGGUGUGGUGAUGGCAGGAGGGGUACGCAGACCCCCAUACACUUCUCAGCAACAUGGGGUCGACGUGAUUCGCUCCAAUUCGGGACAAGACUUAGCGGCCUAUCGCAGCUAUUUAAGUUCUCUAACUUUAAGACGACCCAGCUGUUGUCGAGGCUUGCCGGCCCCUGGCUGGACCAAUGCUAGCGCUGCGCACCAUCACCAGCAGACGCACGCCAGGAUGCGUAAAGAUCAAGCUCGGAGCUCGCAACGCUGGGGACCUGCAAACAACUGCAGCAGUGCAGGUGACGGCUGCCUGCUAGGGGGCGGGACUCAAUACCGUGUCGGGGGCGGAGCAGCACCGGGGGGCGGCGUGCCGCAGUUGGUGGUUGCCAUGUACACAUUCCAGGGCAGGAGCGCCGGGGAGCUCAGCUUUAUCAAGGGCGAUCGUCUCGAGGUUCUCAGUGAAACUGACAACGAUUGGUGGUUGGCUCGCAACCUCACAAACAACGCUGAGGGCUACAUUCCUAAGAACCACGUGGCUCUAGCAACUUCCCUUGAGUGCCAAGACUGGUACUUCGGCCGGAUAGCGCGUAAAGAAGCUGAGAAAUUAUUGAUGGAUUCUUGCAAUCAGAGGGGAACUUUCCUCAUUAGACUGAGCGAGCAAGCCAGCCACGGUUACUCCUUGAGCAUUAGGGAUUGGGAUCAGCAGAAAGGCGAGCACGUGAAGCACUACCGUAUCAAGCAGACCGAUGGCGGCGGCUUCUUCAUCACCUCCGCUCAAACAUUCAGAUCUCUCAACGAACUAGUCGAUGCUUACAGCCGCAACAACUACGGCCUGGCGUGUUUACUGCAGCACCCGUGCGCCCGACCACGACCUCAGCAGUGGGACCUGAGCAGAGAGACCAAAGAUCAGUGGGAGAUCGAACGCAACUCGCUAACAUUCCUCAAAAAACUUGGCCAAGGAACGUUUGGUGAAGUUUGGUAUGGUACCUGGAACAACAGGAUAGAAGUGGCCAUCAAGACCCUCAAAGAAGGCAAUAUGAGGUCUUCGGCGUUCCUUGAAGAAGCAGCUAUCAUGAAAGGCUUGCGGCACAGAAAUAUUCUUGUUCUAUACGCCGUUUGCUCGAAAGAAGAACCUGUUCUUAUAGUUACCGAAUAUAUGAAGAAGGGUGCCCUCUUAGAGCUACUCAGGAGUGAUGAGGGAAAGACUCUUAAACUCAACGAUAUGAUCUACAUCGCCUCUCAGGUGGCGUCAGGCAUGGCAUACUUGGAGAGCAAGCAGCUCAUCCAUCGCGACCUGGCCGCCCGCAACGUCCUGGUUGGUGAAUCUUUGCUCUGCAAGGUCGCUGACUUUGGCCUCGCCAGGAUCAUUGAUGGCGAAGAUUACUGCCCAAGUACAACAGAUAGUAAGUUCCCUGUGAAGUGGACAGCCCCAGAAGCUAUGCUCUUCAAUCGGUUCACCAUCAAGAGUGACGUCUGGAGCUUUGGUGUUCUGCUAAUGGAAAUCAUUACUUACGGAGCAAACACUUAUCCUGGUAUGAACAACCGCGAGGUAAUCGACCGUGUACAAAACGGCUAUAGGAUGCCAAAGCCUCCUCGCUGUCCCGACGAGCUCUACAAGAUGAUGCUCAGCUGCUGGGACAAGGACCCGGACCAUCGGCCUACCUUUGACUACCUCCACCAUUACUUUGACGACUAUCAGGUGUCUUCUGAGAUACCUUAUAGGGAUGUCCCUCACGACUAGAGACCUUCUCCUCUUCCCUUUUGACCCUUUACAUCUUUUUGAGCAGCUUUUGAUCCUCUAUAACUAUUAUCUUUUUUUUAUCAUAAAAUUUCACUCGCUCAUGCUCCUCACUGCCUUAUUAUAUUUAUUUCAGGUUAUCAUUUCCUCAAUUAUAUUUUCAGCUGCAAUUAUACUUCUCUUGUCUCUUCCAAGUUCAUCCGAUAGAAUUUUUUUUAAUGAUUUAUAUCAGAGGCACAUUAAUUUCUUUCACAUAUUCUUCGUCUUGUGUUUUUCAUAUUCUAAUUUUUAGCUCAUAUAUCGUAGACUCAUGUUACAAUGUUGCCCAGACUUAUCAGUCAUGCCCUAACCAGUUGGUGUGCUUUGCCGUCUUCAUCAGCUAAAUUAUCUUGAUAGCAAUUCAUGCAUCAGUCAAUCUAAUCAAAACUUAAAUUUUCAUUCAUAUGUUCAUUUCAUUUGAAAUGGAGCCCGUAUUUUAUAGCCUGUCAUAAAAAAAGAAUUGAAGUUCUUCAAUUGCAACUAUCCAUUCUUAGAACUUUCCUUGAAUUUAAGCUUUUUUGGCGUUGAACCUGGUUUUCUUUUUUAUAUCUUCACUGACCGCUGUGACCCUUUUUGUAGUUUUUUCUUUUGUUUGACGUUAUCUUGUUGCAUGUGAUGAGCUCCUGAUGAACUGCUAUGGAGUAACUUCGAGGUGUGGUGUUCACUUUCAUUCGUCCUUAAUAAAAACGCUUCCGUUGAGCAUUUUAUCUGCCGUACUUUAUAUUUCUUGGUAUCGGUUUGAUUUAGAUUGAUAAUUUAUGUGUCAGCCCAAGGUAAAUUAUUAUCCGUGUUUUAUUCUGCAUUGCAUUUAAAACAUCGGAGUUAUUUUCUGCGCUUACUUUCACUCUUACUUCCAGCUAGUUUUUGGAUAAUUCGUUCGUAUCUGGCUGAUGGAUAAGUUUUUAUUUGCAGUUGUUAUGGCAUUUUAGACUUCGGCUUUAGAGCGUUUCAUUUUUUGCAUCCGUUAGUGUGUUCCUCUGUGAUGUUGACAAUCGAGAACUAUAACGAUGUCGUACCCGUCUUUUGGUUGAUUUCUGUUAUUACUUUCAACAUUCUUUCUUUGGUGCAUUUAUGUGUCUUUAGCGGCUUCUUUGUAUUUCCUGCUUUGAUGAAUAUUUGUUCUCUUAUUCUCAUACAGUAACUGCGUGUGCAGCGGAAAAGUUGUCAGGAAUUUCCAGUAAUUUUAGUGGCUUUGACUUAGAUUUUGUUUUGAUUUGAAGUUGCUUAAGCUUCGAUUGGUGUGUUCGUUAACUGUUACUUGUAGAGAAGAGAAGAACUUGCUGUGUUAGCUCACGACGUGCCGGGAGAGGGUGCGUGUGAUUCCCUCGCCCAAUCCUGGAACCUCAAUCCUUACCCGGCCUCAUUCAUAUCAUGAUUUUUUCUUGCCAUCGUAUCAUGGUCAUGAGUCAUCUUUUCUUGCUUAUGCCUUGAUCUUGAAAUAAUGCUUGGCUCGGUGCUGGAAACUUCGAAUCAUGCUGGCUCAUUGAGUCUGCUCACGUAUUUGCUGAUGGAGUCUUUUUUCAGUUCUUCAACAGCGUUAGAAGUGGCAGUAAUAUUGGAGUUCUAAAAUAUAAUAAAUUCUUUCUCGUAACGCUGUUAUUUUAUUUGGUAGCCAUAUGUUAUUGUCAUUUGCGUCGGUAUUAAAUUAUAAUGUGAAGAUGCAAUUAGUCGUGCUGGUGCUGAUCUUAUUCUUCCUGGCUUCGAAUCUCCGCGCCUAGACUCUGUUCGUCAUGUAUCAAAGUAGCAUUGGAAUAUAAAUGCUAAUCUUUCCCUGUAUCUAAAUUUGGUGUGUUCAUUGAUUGGAAAUACCGUACAUCUCACCAUGAUUUCCAACGAGAAUAUUAUCAAAGGUGCCUGUGGUUCUUCUUUCCUUCGGAAAUGUGUCUCAAAUCCAUGCUAGAAGUACCUAUGUACUGAUUGUUUUUUAGCAAUGAUCGUGUUCAUAGUGGAUUGUUCUUGGUUUACUUUUGACUCAUCUUUUAUGUUUUAGUUGGUUUUAAAUGAGUUGCUAUCUCAUUGUGUCCUCGAUUCAACUUCAUUUAACAUGUGGUAGAUUUUAUAUUUUCAGUCAGAUUCUACUCAAAUGAUUCAUUCGUCCCCUCUUGUUCCUUUGCUGCUCGCUUUCAUAGUGAAUGCAUUCUGGCUUUUCUUACCUUCAUUAACUCUUCCAUACUAUCCCUCGUGACGUGUACUUGCCCACUUCUCCUGUAAUCCUACCCGCAUCACUCUGCGUCCUGAUCAGAUAUCCUCGGGAUACCUAGUAUCCUACACUAUCCUUGAAAUAAUCCUGAUCCUUGCCUUUUUUCCGAAAGAAUAACCUUCCCCCCCCCCCCGCACAUACACACACACACCCCCUCUCCUCGAGCGCAUCGCAUUGCCAGAGGAAAUGUAACCACGACCAACGACAUGAGAUCUUCCUGCUGUGCUUGGCUGCUAUCUUCAAAAUGUCGAUGUGCUACCAUGACUGCCGCACUAUAUUAACCACAAUUUGCGUUAAGUACAUCAUAAAUUUCAGGGAUUAUCAAUUAUCUAUUAAUUAUCAAUGGUUGAAUUCGUAGACAGUAUUAACGGUACUGCAGCGCGUGUGGCGAGUUUGGAGUCUUAUUUUUUCUUCUGUGACAAAUGAGUACGUGAACGAUGCGUCAGAUUCAUGUAUGAACUCUCGUGUACAUUUUAAUAUUGAUGUAAGUGUAAAUAGUAUAUAUGUGUAAAAAUAUUUUGUAAUUAACCAAUACUCAUGGCUGCUACGGAAGAAUGACUGCUCGUUCACUCGAUUGUUGCAGCUGUCGUGUUUAGCUUAUUGCGUUCUGAACAAUUCCUGGAAGCAUUUUUACCUCAUGCUGCAUCUGACACGAAAUCCCGUGUAUUUGGAUUCAUUUUUGGCUAUGGGUACGUAUUAAGUUUAAUUUUUUCUUGAAUUCUUCUUACUUGCAUUAAGAUCAUAAUUAAAUUUUUAUAACAGCCAAGUUUACAUUCAAAGAUGACGCCGUGAUAGUAUUUUAUACAUGUAUGCUUGCAUGUUUUUGCAAACAAAACCUUAGCAAAUUAAGUUACUUCAGGUACUGUUCACCUUACAUUUCCUAAGUGUUCUGUUAAAUUCUAUCCGUUUCAAAUCUGUUGAAUUAAUCAGCUCCAAUUGCCUGAAAAUCAUUUCGAAGGUGCAGCUAUACUCGUGUACGUUAGUAUUUGUUAAUAAUGUGUCACUUGUGUUCAUAUUAGCUCACGUACUGUUAAGCUAGCUAUUAUUUGAAGCGUUUCCUGUACUAUGCCAAAGUGGAACUUGGUUUUUUGCGUGUGCGGUAAGUUCACCCAUUAACACAUUCUCCUGCGACGUAGGUUUGAAUUUUUAACCAUGUAUUGUAUUAUUGUACGUCGGGGAAUUCUGUUACUUGUCCAGCAACUUUCACAACCAGGUUUGCAGUAAUGGGAGUACUAUCCACUGCUAGCUAAUUAUAUUUCCAAAAAUAAGCCACACGGAAUUCAUUAAAACUAUUAUUUUAAACGAUAACCGUGGAACUUGUUCUUUCAAUAUGUGUACUACAUGCAUCAUGAAUUACGGCUAAUUAAAGCUAACUAUCCAAUUAGUCCGAACAACGGGAUCGACUCCUCUUUCCGCUGCCUCUAACCGCUCUUGCCAUCAUUUCAUAUUCUUCACCUCCCGUCGUCAUGAUUUAAUUGCAGAAUAACUAAUUGAUAUAAAAUUGUUUGUCGCUACAUACAUUCUUGUUGAAUUUGCCGGCGAGAAAUAACUUCAAAUUAUUAGAGGUUUGUUUAUUAUGUUCACAAUUUGCAGAUGCAACGGACAGAUAAGAACACAAUACACCAAAUACUUGUUAGUCUCGUUCAACAGUUGCGGUUGCAAGUUUUUGAAGCAUAGGAAUUAAGUACUCGCGAGACUGGUAUGAAAGUAAUCAUAAUAGUGCGUCAGCAUAUGCGUAUUACUUCCACUAUCGCAUAUAGCCCAAAUACUUGAUGCUACAACAAAUGUCUUGAAGGGAACCGUUAAUAUACUGUAAUAUAUUGUAAGCUAUUAAUGAGGGGACUGGUUGUUACCGGGCUCUCCCAAAUCUCCGCUGAGAGUUUUUUUUUCUAAUAUAUUGCCUAAGAUUCAAUAAUAAAAGUUGUCCCGAAAUUUACUUC